Non-coding RNA from Entophlyctis helioformis, 73 nucleotides. The record is from the annotation of a GenBank genome assembly. NCBI's taxonomy places the organism in Eukaryota, Fungi, Chytridiomycota, Chytridiomycetes, Chytridiales, Chytriomycetaceae.
GUCCCCGUGGCCUAAUGGAUAAGGCGCCUGCCUCCUAAGCAGGCGAUUCCGGGUUCGAGUCCCGGCUGGGAUU